Molecule: ribosomal RNA, 462 nt
Filed under: uncultured bacterium
Lineage: Bacteria
Description: partial 16S ribosomal RNA
Rfam family: Bacterial small subunit ribosomal RNA
Source: RNAcentral
CCUACGGGCGGCAGCAGUGAGGAAUAUUGGUCAAUGGGCGGGAGCCUGAACCAGCCAAGUCGCGUGAGGGAAGACGGUCCUAUGGAUUGUAAACCUCUUUAGGCGGGGAGCAAUGCCGGGCACGCGUGCCCUGAGGGAGAGUACCCGCAGAAUAAGCAUCGGCUAACUCCUUGCCAGCAGCCGCGGUAAUCCGGAGGAUGCGAGCGUUAUCCGGAUUUAUUGGGUUUAAAGGGUGCGUAGGCUGUGAGGUAAGUCAGCGGUGAAAUGCCCCCGCUCAACGGGGUGAAGUGCCAUUGAUACUGCCGUGCUGGAAUGCGGAUGCCGUGGGAGGAAUGUGUGGUGUAGCGGUGAAAUGCAUAGAUAUCACACAGAACACCGAUUGCGAAGGCAUCUCACGAAGCCGCGAUUGACGCUGAUGCACGAAAGCGUGGGUAUCAAACAGGAUUAGAUACCCCAGUAGUC